CGGGCAGUGCGCCGGUUUCGGGCGGCCCGCUGGGUUCGGGCAGCGGACCGGUUAGCGCACCUCCGUUCGGGGCCGCGCCGUUCGC
RNAcentral lists this transfer RNA (85 nucleotides) under Virgisporangium aurantiacum. RNAcentral's name for it is "tRNA-Pro". The record is from RNAcentral. Lineage: Bacteria; Bacillati; Actinomycetota; Actinomycetes; Micromonosporales; Micromonosporaceae.